Molecule: ribosomal RNA, 522 nt
Filed under: uncultured bacterium
Lineage: Bacteria
Description: bacterial SSU rRNA
Rfam family: Archaeal small subunit ribosomal RNA
Source: RNAcentral
AACCUCCGCAAUGUGAGAAAUCGCGACGGGGGGAUCCCAAGUGCCAUUCUUAACGGGAUGGCUUUUCAUUAGUGUAAAGAGCUUUUGGAAUAAGGGCUGGGCAAGACCGGUGCCAGCCGCCGCGGUAACACCGGCAGCUCUAGUGGUAGCAGUUUUUAUUGGGCCUAAAGCGUCCGUAGCCGGUUUAAUAAGUCUCUGGUGAAAUCCUGUAGCUUAACUGUGGGAAUUGCUGGAGAUACUAUUAGACUUGAGACCGGGAGAGGUUAGAGGUACUCCCAGGGUAGAGGUGAAAUUCUGUAAUCCUGGAAGGACCGCCUGUUGCGAAGGCGUCUAACUGGAACGGUUCUGACGGUGAGGGACGAAAGUUAGGGGCGCGGAACCGGAUUAGAUACCCGGGUAGUCCUAACUGUAAACGAUGCGGACUUGGUGUUGGGGUGGUUUUGAGCUGCUUCAGUGCCGAAGGGAAGCUGUUAAGUCCGCCGCCUGGGAAGUACGGUCGCAAGACUGAAACUUAAAGGAAUU